CCGUUCCAGACAGCUGGCACACGCAGGUUCCCUGCAUCACACCCAACGUGGGGCUCUAGAGGUCACCGGAAACAGCGAGAGGCCAGCACGUCAGCUGGGAGCCCAGCUCCGGUCCAGCGUCACCACGGGGCCAUGCCCAGAACACCCUCCCGGAGGAAGGGGGCCGCCCGGGGGUGGAGGCCUGGCUCACCCUGCUGGGCCCUCCACCUCCUGGAUCUGACUUCCUCCUGGAGAGGCAGCCAGAAUAGAACCUGGGUUCUCCUUCCCCUGGCACUGCUGAUCGUGCUGGCUACCCUGCCACCAGUGGCUAUGAACUACACUCGAGGCUGUAACUGGACCUCCCCGGCGUUUGCAGCCAUGUCCCACUUUUGUCCCAGGACCCAGUCCUGGCUGCCACCUUGCAUUCGGUCGUCAUGCCCACAGCUGAAGAAACUGACCCUGUAACUGCUGAUUUCACACGGGAAAACGGGGGCGAGGGCUCUGCUCUUGGCUUCCUUCACUUUCACUUUCACCAUUUCACUUCGGAAAAUCCCCUUCAGACGUGCCUUUAGUCCCGAAGCUCCCCUUCCUGCCCUCCCUUCAUCCAGAGGCCCCUCCCAGCCCCCAGGAGCUCGCCCUCAGCUCAGAGCUCUCCUGGCCGCCUGUUUCGUUCUUUCUUUUUAAAAAUCUUUCUCGUUUGUUUGUUUUGGCUGCACCCACGGCCUGCGCAAGUUCCUGUACUGAGCCACAGCAGCCACAGCGGUGACAAUGCUGAGUCCUUCACUGGGCCACCGGGGAACAGGGCCUCCUUUUCCUUACUGCCGGGAUAUUUAACUCUGCCCUGCUGCUCCAACCCACCCGUUAGUGUCAUCUUUAAGCGUGUCAAUGGCUGUUAUUCUGGGAAUUAUAAAACUCCUGUACGUUUUUGUUUUGGUUCCACUCUCUUCCUGGGACAGAAACUUUAUGCCAAAAGUUUCCCCAACGCGAAAUUUCCCCCAAUUCAUCCUUCCUUCCUUCUUCCCUGCAGUUCCCACCUCCCUUCUGGGAAUGCUGUGGUCCCAGGGAGGCCACCUCCAGGGGUAGAAAUAUGACCUGAGCUCGAACAAUCAGUACCUGCCACCUCUUUGGUCCAGGGAUGGGUUCAAGAGAGGCUUGUCAGCCAAGGCGGCCCAGUCAAGGUGAAGCUCAGGCUCUUUGGCAGGUGCUCUGGUCCCCAGGUGCCCUCUUCGACUCAGGUGGGAGGGAUGCCUCACUAUGGAGAUGGAAGGCCAGUGGUCAUUUUCUUAGCACACCUGGUUGCUGAGGAGUUUGGUUCAACCUGUUGAGGUAGUUGCAUGAAGAAAUUCUGGGUCUUUUUAAUCUUCCUCAUCAUUCCCUUUCCUCUUUCCUCUUUUUUAACACCACAGGCAGUUUUAAUAACCUUCUGGUCUUUUCUUUUAGGGCCACAUCUGCAGCACAUGGAAG
This 1443-nucleotide long non-coding RNA is filed under the name Sus scrofa (pig). RNAcentral describes it as "lncRNA (ENSSSCG00030023275.1)". Lineage: Eukaryota; Metazoa; Chordata; Mammalia; Artiodactyla; Suidae. The record is from RNAcentral.